This 414-nucleotide ribosomal RNA is filed under the name uncultured bacterium. RNAcentral describes it as "bacterial SSU rRNA". It matches the Rfam family "Bacterial small subunit ribosomal RNA", at positions 28 to 430 of the family's 1533-position model. The record is from RNAcentral.
GAUGAACGCUAGCGGCAGGCUUAAUACAUGCAAGUCGUGGGGCAGCAGGUCCCGCAGCAAUGCGGGAUGCUGGCGACCGGCAAACGGGUGCGGAACACGUACACAACCUUCCUUUAAGUGGGGCAUAGCCUAAGGAAACUUGGAUUAAUACCCCGUAACAUAUUGAAAAGGCAUCUUUUUAAUAUUAUAGCAGCAAUGCGCUUGAAGACGGGUGUGCGUCUGAUUAGGAGUUGGGUGGGGUAACGGCCCACCAAGCCUUCGAUCAGUAACUGGUGUGAGAGCACGACCAGUCACACGGGCACUGAGACACGGGCCCGACUCCUACGGGAGGCAGCAGUAAGGAAUAUUGGUCAAUGGACGCAAGUCUGAACCAGCCAUGCCGCGUGGAGGAUGAAGGUCCUCUGGAUUGUAAAC